UACGAAGGAUGCAAGCGUUAUCCGGAUUUAUUGGGUUUAAAGGGAGCGUAGGCGGUCUUAUAAGUCAGUGGUGAAAUCUCGUUGCUUAACAACGAACGUGCCAUUGAUACUGUAGGACUUGAGUACAGAUGCCGUUGGCGGAAUGUGUCAUGUAGCGGUGAAAUGCAUAGAUAUGACACAGAACACCGAUUGCGAAGGCAGCUGACGAAACUGUAACUGACGCUGAGGCUCGAAAGCGUGGGGAGCAAACGGG
Molecule: ribosomal RNA, 253 nt
Filed under: uncultured bacterium
Lineage: Bacteria
Description: partial 16S ribosomal RNA
Rfam family: Bacterial small subunit ribosomal RNA
Source: RNAcentral